Molecule: long non-coding RNA, 2790 nt
Organism: Patella vulgata (common limpet)
Lineage: Eukaryota; Metazoa; Mollusca; Gastropoda; Patellidae
Exons: 2
Source: RefSeq, a predicted model, not a curated record
CCAUGCAUGCUAUAAAUGGAUAUGAAUCUAACUUGGACUGUUCGGAACACCUCUGUCCUAUACCGCCAGCCUCAGACGAGUUUAAGAGAGCUUUACGCCAGCUUCGUACAGAAGAGCGAGUCCCGCUUCAAUCGUUAAAAGGAGCCAACUCUUACAGCGUGCAGUCAGUCGACUCAUUGCCAGGCGCUCAUUUAGCAAUGGGAAAAAUCGAAUCACGGAGUUUAUACGAGGAAGAGGACUUUCAUAAUCCUACAGUUACGAUAACCAACGGUCAUUCGGGACAUGUGCACGUUAAAAACUCUCUACCGGUGUCCUUUAAUGGAAAAUACAAAGAUGGGUUUGGUGAAACGCCCAAGGAUAAGGAGAAACCGAAAGUUAAAAAACUUAUUACGAGUCGUUCCCCGAGACUCAAUGACCAUUCUGGACACCAUGCGGUCAUGCACGCACAAUUCAGAGACCCGAACCUUUUCACAGACGAGUUCCGCCGACGUUCUAUGAGCGAGUCGCAUGCCCAGAUGCGGAGGAAAGCGUUAGAACGCCAGGAAAAACGCAAUGCUCGAUUCGAACAAGGUGGAAGUGGGGAUAUACCACAUGUGCAUUGGGCAGAUUCCACGGGCGACAGUUUAACAUCGGAUUUAAGACGAAGGUCUUUUUCACACGGUUCCACGGGGUUGCCCAAUAAACCUAUAUUAAAAAAGAUAACGAACGGCGUCGCUUCCGAUUCUAAAUGCUGUGUUGAACAUUCAAACUUACUGGCUGUGGAUACCCGCUAUAUAUAAUGUGUUUUCCUAGAAUCAAAUGUGUCUUAUUACUUUUAGUAAAAAAAAAACUAUUUUGGUUGUGCCAGAAAACUAAUAUGAGAUAAUUGAUAUUUUGUGUAAAUGUAUCCUGCUAUCGCAUCCAGUGAUAUGUCAUCUUGAUAAACAGGAUCCGGUGUACUGGAGAGACAAUAACAUUACGAUUCAUUGACGAUAAUUGCUUUUCUGGAACGCUUGGGGCUACUGAAAUGGAUGGAUUGUUCGGGGUAAGUGUGUAAUAUUAAAUUUUUAAAGAUGGAACCGACAUUGUGGUCUGGAUAAUUUGUAAAGAAAAGUUUUUUUUGAAUACAAAUUAAUUAGUAUCGUUGUAGACAGAAUACUUCAUUAUUUAUAUUAAAAAACCCCAAAGAAAUUGUUUCAUCAGCAUUGGAAAUAGUACACCCGAGAGAUACGACGAUUUAAAAAAUACUCCCAAAAAACCCCGUCUUAUCAUCAGCAUUGGAAAUAGUACAUCCGGGAGAUACGACGAUUGAAAAAAGAAAAAAAAACCCAAAAACCCGAAAUUCCGUCUUAUCAUCAGCAUUGGAAAUAGUACACCCGGGAGAUACGACGAUUUAAAAAAAACCCCCAAAAACCAUCUUAUCAUCAACAUUGGAAACAUGACGAUUCAACUCUAAACCAAAGUUUGAUGGACAUGAAUUCAGUGUAUCGAUGUGGUAUGAACGCAUAUCCUGUCUAGUACAUGACACAGGGAUCGUAAAUUGGAAGAUCUAGAAGACAAUAAAUGCGUCUAGGUGGAUUUGUGAUCAAUUUGUCCAGGGUUUGAAAGAAAGAUGGCAGAUAAAAAGAUGUUGGUUGUUUUAUCGUAACAUAUCUGUUUUCUUGACUACAUUAAUUUCCACGAACAUGAGAAUGGCCGAUAUGUGUUGAUAGCAUUUGUAUGUGUUGGUGAAUGAUCUGCGCAGAUGAAUAUCUUCCGUAAACUGAUGUGUUAACAGGUAAUCCAGUCUGAACAGGUUAAUUGGCAAGAAUAUUUUGUGUAAGAAUAUUUUAUGCUAAAUAGUACUAGUGAAAACAUGUUUUUUUGUACUCUGUGCCAAUGAAUAUUAUUGACGUUAUGGUAUGUAGACGUGAACAAAAUGACGUUAUGGUAUGUAGGCGUGAACAAAAUGACGUUAUGGUAUGUAGCAGUGAACAAAAUGACGUUAUAACAUGUUUUUUAUGCUAUGUAGCAGUGAACAAAAUGACGUUAUAACAUGUCUUUAUGCUAUAUAGCAGUGAACAAAAUGACGUUAUAACAUUUUUUUAUGCUAUGUACCAGUGAACAAAAUGACGUAAUAACAUGUUUUUUUAUGCUAUGUAGAAGUGACAAAAAUAGUUUUGUGCUUUGUAUAGUAUGAUUAUUUUAUGCUAUAUAAUGGUGAAAAAGGGAUGUUAUGGUAUGUAGGAGUGAAAACACUAUUUUAUGUUACGUAGGUGUGUAAACAUGUUAUGUUACAAAUUUUAUGCUAUGUAGGAGGAAUGAAGCAAGAUUUCAUGCUAUGUAGGAGUGAAUCAAGAUUUUAUGUCAUGUAAUAGCGUAGAAAAACUAAUUGUGAAAAACUAAUAGCGAAAGAAAGAUGUUAGGGGUGAAUAAACUAUUUUAUGUUACGAAAGUGUGAAAACAUGUUAUGCUACAAAUUUUAUGCCAUGUAGGAGUGAAGCAAGAUUUUAUACCAUGUAAACCAGAAAAAAACCUAAAUAACGAACAGAAUGUAAUUGGAAAUAUAAUUUGAUGUUUAAUUCAGUGGUGGUGAUAUUGCGUGAUGGAUGUUAUUUUUGACAAUUUAAUUAAAUUAUUAUAACAUAUCAAUCUGUUGACAUAGUUGUAGUAUGAACAACAAAAUAAACAGGUCUUAAUACAAAUUCCAUGGCGUGAAUGUAACGUGUUUUGACUAGUGAACAGUUAGUAGCUAUCAAUUACUUGGUUGAAAUUAUAACGUACAUGUACGCAUGUGUAUUAUAUGUGAACAAUGUCAUAUUUAAAAUGAAA